This 142-nucleotide ribosomal RNA is filed under the name uncultured Anoxybacillus sp. Its description in RNAcentral is "partial 16S ribosomal RNA". It matches the Rfam family "Bacterial small subunit ribosomal RNA", at positions 1245 to 1382 of the family's 1533-position model. Lineage: Bacteria; Bacillati; Bacillota; Bacilli; Caryophanales; Anoxybacillaceae. The record is from RNAcentral.
GAAGGCAACCUCGCGAGGGGGAGCCAAUCCCAAAAAAGCCCGACUCUCAGUUCGGAUUGCAGGCUGCAACUCCGCCUGCAUGAAGCCGGAAUCGCUAGUAAUCGCGGAUCAGCAUGCCGCGGUGAAUACGUUCCCGGGCCUU